This 624-nucleotide long non-coding RNA is filed under the name Homo sapiens (human). Its description in RNAcentral is "HSALNT0174148". Lineage: Eukaryota; Metazoa; Chordata; Mammalia; Primates; Hominidae. The record is from RNAcentral.
CCGUGGCAUGUGCUUCCCCCCAACCUUUCACCAAGGACCUACCAUGUGCCAAAGACUAAGCACUGGGGAUAGAAGGUGAACGAGACCGGUGUGGCCCCCCGCCCUGCUCUUGGACCUGCCAAUCUCCAGGGUUUGUUUUCUUGAGACUCCUGACGCUGCCUGGCCCGAGUCAGCACUAGGGAUUCCUGAUCUCUGCAUAUCCCUUCCCAGCCAUCCAAGACAGCAAGAGCUGUUGCUUCUCUUCUCAAAUUUCUCCCUUGGCUUCUUGAUUGAGAGUUUCAUCCCAGCUAUGGUUUAAAAAACAAACAGCAAACAAACAAACAAACUAACCACACACUCAAACAAACCUCAGACUGCACAAUGGAAGCACUGCCUGGAAUCAUAAAGAUCAUUUGUUCAAUGUCCCUUUUUCUCACUGCCAGGCCAGUGCUCUCGUCUGCACCAUGGAACCCAUUAUGACUUGAACCUUUCCAGAUUGAUUCCCCAUAAACCUAAUGAAGACAUUGGAAAGGUACUCCGUGCCAGGCUAUGGGGAUAUAACAUCGAACAAGAUAGACAAGUUGCUCAUCUUCAUGUCUCCAGUGGGGAGACAGACAACGACCAUGGUAAAUAAAUGAGAAUGCA